This 253-nucleotide ribosomal RNA is filed under the name uncultured bacterium. RNAcentral's name for it is "partial 16S ribosomal RNA". It matches the Rfam family "Bacterial small subunit ribosomal RNA", at positions 524 to 776 of the family's 1533-position model. The record is from RNAcentral.
UACGUAGGGUGCGAGCGUUGUCCGGAAUUAUUGGGCGUAAAGAGCUCGUAGGCGGUGUGUCGCGUCGAUCGUGAAAACUUGGGGCUUAACCCUGAGCUUGCGGUCGAUACGGGCAGGCUGGAGUUCGGUAGGGGAGACUGGAAUUCCUGGUGUAGCGGUGAAAUGCGCAGAUAUCAGGAGGAACACCGAUGGCGAAGGCAGGUCUCUGGGCCACUACUGACGCUGAGAAGCGAAAGCAUGGGGAGCGAACAGG